RNAcentral lists this non-coding RNA (29 nucleotides) under Rattus norvegicus (Norway rat). The record is from RNAcentral. Lineage: Eukaryota; Metazoa; Chordata; Mammalia; Rodentia; Muridae.
UAAUGAGGUUCCCAUGCUGCGUCUAUUUC